This 597-nucleotide ribosomal RNA is filed under the name uncultured bacterium. RNAcentral's name for it is "bacterial SSU rRNA". It matches the Rfam family "Bacterial small subunit ribosomal RNA", at positions 112 to 704 of the family's 1533-position model. The record is from RNAcentral.
AAUACUUAGGAAUCUGCCUAUUAGUGGGGGACAACAUUUCGAAAGGAAUGCUAAUACCGCAUACGCCCUACGGGGGAAAGCAGGGGCUCUUCGGACCUUGCGCUAAUAGAUGAGCCUAAGCCAGAUUAGCUAGUUGGUGGGGUAAAGGCCUACCAAGGCGACGAUCUGUAGCGGGUCUGAGAGGAUGAUCCGCCACACUGGGACUGAGACACGGCCCAGACUCCUACGGGAGGCAGCAGUGGGGAAUAUUGGACAAUGGGGGGAACCCUGAUCCAGCCAUGCCGCGUGUGUGAAGAAGGCCUUUUGGUUGUAAAGCACUUUAAGCGAGGAGGAGGCUCCUAUAGUUAAUACCUAUAGUGAGUGGACGUUACUCGCAGAAUAAGCACCGGCUAACUCUGUGCCAGCAGCCGCGGUAAUACAGAGGGUGCGAGCGUUAAUCGGAUUUACUGGGCGUAAAGCGUGCGUAGGUGGCCAAUUAAGUCAAAUGUGAAAUCCCUGAGCUUAACUUAGGAAUUGCAUUCGAUACUGGUUGGCUAGAGUAUGGGAGAGGAUGGUAGAAUUCCAGGUGUAGCGGUGAAAUGCGUAGAGAUCUGGAGG